RNAcentral lists this ribosomal RNA (357 nucleotides) under uncultured bacterium. RNAcentral describes it as "bacterial SSU rRNA". It matches the Rfam family "Bacterial small subunit ribosomal RNA", at positions 527 to 881 of the family's 1533-position model. The record is from RNAcentral.
AGAGGGUGCAAGCGUUAAUCGGAAUUACUGGGCGUAAAGCGCGCGUAGGUGGUUUGUUAAGUUGGAUGUGAAAGUCCAUCGCUUAACGGUGGAUCCGCGCCGGGUACGGGCGGGCUUGAGUGCGGUAGGGGAGACUGGAAUUCCCGGUGUAACGGUGGAAUGUGUAGAUAUCGGGAAGAACACCAAUGGCGAAGGCAGGUCUCUGGGCCGUUACUGACGCUGAGGAGCGAAAGCGUGGGGAGCGAACAGGAUUAGAUACCCUGGUAGUCCACGCCGUAAACGGUGGAUGCUGGAUGUGGGGCCCGUUCCACGGGUUCCGUGUCGGAGCUAACGCGUUAAGCAUCCCGCCUGGGGAGU